AACGAACGCUGGCGGCAUGCCUAACACAUGCAAGUCGAACGAGACCUUCGGGUCUAGUGGCGCACGGGUGCGUAACGCGUGGGAACCUGCCCUUAGGUUCGGAAUAACUCCCCGAAAGGGGUGCUAAUACCGGAUAAUGUCUUCGGACCAAAGAUUUAUCGCCUUUGGAUGGGCCCGCGUUGGAUUAGCUAGUUGGUUGGGUAAAAGCCUACCAAGGCGACGAUCCAUAGCUGGUCUGAGAGGAUGAUCAGCCACACUGGGACUGAGACACGGCCCAGACUCCUACGGGAAGCAGCAGUGGGGAAUAUUGGACAAUGGGCGAAAGCCUGAUCCAGCAAUGCCGCGUGAGUGAUGAAGGCCUUAGGGUUGUAAAGCUCUUUUACCCGGGAUGAUAAUGACAGUACCGGGAGAAUAAGCUCCGGCUAACUCCGUG
RNAcentral lists this ribosomal RNA (433 nucleotides) under uncultured bacterium. Its description in RNAcentral is "partial 16S ribosomal RNA". It matches the Rfam family "Bacterial small subunit ribosomal RNA", at positions 29 to 507 of the family's 1533-position model. The record is from RNAcentral.